GUUAGUGGGGAUUAAAAAUUUUAUUUUAUUUCCAUUCCAUUUACCGUGAGUUAGGGAGAAUCUCAUUUCUCUUUCUUGGUGAGUUCUCUUGUUCUCUUCAAGUGGAAAAGAAAAAUGUUGGCCGAUUGCAUGUAGGUGAAGCCAUGGUUGUGGCUGCUUAGGAGUUGCUUAUUUUUCAAGAAUUCAAGCUAAAGAGGUAGGUGAAGAGCAUUGUGGGAAAGACAAGGAACAGGCUUGAGGAGGUAGGAAGCAGCUUGGGAAAAUUUUUGUGUGUUUUCUUUGAAAUAGUUUCUGUUUAUUUCAUGUUCAAUUUUUUAUUAGGUCAAUAUUGAUGAUUCAGUCGUCUAAACUGGUGCUUAGGUGCUGUCCAUUUUUUAGCAUAUCAAUGCUGUCCAUUUUUGUACAAAUUAAUGUUGUCCGAGUGUUGUUGCUGCGGUCCAAAUACUUGUGAAUUAAUGAUGUAUGAAUGUUGCAAAUCAA
Molecule: long non-coding RNA, 480 nt
Organism: Gossypium raimondii (Peruvian cotton)
Lineage: Eukaryota; Viridiplantae; Streptophyta; Magnoliopsida; Malvales; Malvaceae
Exons: 2
Source: RefSeq, a predicted model, not a curated record